CGCGGGAUGGAGCAGCAUGGUAGCUCGUCGGGCUCAGCUCCUCAUAAAAGCCAGCGAAGGUCAUCGGUUCAAAUCCGGCUCCCGCAACCA
RNAcentral lists this transfer RNA (90 nucleotides) under Parashewanella curva. RNAcentral describes it as "Shewanellaceae bacterium C51 tRNA-Sec". It matches the Rfam family "tRNA". From Rfam's summary of the family: Transfer RNA (tRNA) molecules are approximately 80 nucleotides in length. Their secondary structure includes four short double-helical elements and three loops (D, anti-codon, and T loops). The record is from RNAcentral. Lineage: Bacteria; Pseudomonadati; Pseudomonadota; Gammaproteobacteria; Alteromonadales; Shewanellaceae.